UUGCCCGUGAAAGGCAAGACUGAAGCAGCCCUUACGAGGCUGAGGUCGCCGGUUCAACUCCGGCCCGGCCCA
This 72-nucleotide transfer RNA is filed under the name Candidatus Bathyarchaeota archaeon. Its description in RNAcentral is "tRNA-Val". The record is from RNAcentral. Lineage: Archaea; Thermoproteati; Candidatus Bathyarchaeota.